Pristis pectinata (smalltooth sawfish) is the source of this 150-nucleotide long non-coding RNA. RefSeq lists it as uncharacterized. The record is from RefSeq and is a predicted model, not a curated record. Lineage: Eukaryota; Metazoa; Chordata; Chondrichthyes; Rhinopristiformes; Pristidae. The transcript has 3 exons.
CGCAGAAAAUAUGGACUCAUGGACGCCGAUGACGGUGUUGUGAUUUAGUUGGCUGAUCCAGAAGAUUAAGGCACAUGGGAUCCACGGUGACUAUUAGAUUGGAUUCAAAGCUACCAGAGAAGACUGAGGGUAAGAAACCAAAUCUGGUUG